AAUGAACGUUGGCGGCGUGGAUUAGGCAUGCAAGUCGUGCGCGAAUCGUAGCAAUACGAGGAGAGCGGCGAAAGGGAGAGGAUAGCAUAGAUACCUACCCUCGGACCUGGGAUAGCUAUGGGAAACUAUAGGUAAUACCAGAUAAUGUCUCCGGACCAACGGUGUGAUUCCGUCCGGGGAGGGGUCUAUGUCCUAUUAGCUUGUUGGUGAGGUAACGGCUCACCAAGGCAAAGAUGGGUACGAGGCGUGAGAGCGUGUCCUCGCUCACUGGGACUGAGACACUGCCCAGACACCUACGGGUGGCUGCAGUCGAGAAUCUUCGGCAAUGGGCGCAAGCCUGACCGAGCGACGCCGCGUGUGGGAUGAAGGCCUUCGGGUUGUAAACCACUGUCAGUGCGGAGGAAAUAUAGUGGGGUUCUCCCCAUUAUUUGACAUAUGCGCAGAGGAAGGACGGGCUAAGUUCGUGCCAGCAGCAGCCGCGG
RNAcentral lists this ribosomal RNA (482 nucleotides) under uncultured bacterium. RNAcentral describes it as "partial 16S ribosomal RNA". It matches the Rfam family "Bacterial small subunit ribosomal RNA", at positions 29 to 523 of the family's 1533-position model. The record is from RNAcentral.